Molecule: transfer RNA, 69 nt
Filed under: Anoura caudifer (tailed tailless bat)
Lineage: Eukaryota; Metazoa; Chordata; Mammalia; Chiroptera; Phyllostomidae
Description: transfer RNA-Gly
Rfam family: tRNA
About the family: Transfer RNA (tRNA) molecules are approximately 80 nucleotides in length. Their secondary structure includes four short double-helical elements and three loops (D, anti-codon, and T loops).
Source: RNAcentral
AUUCUUUUAGUAUUAACUAGUACAACUGACUUCCAAUCAGUUAGUUCCGGUACAACUCGGAAAAGAAUA